This 447-nucleotide ribosomal RNA is filed under the name uncultured bacterium. RNAcentral describes it as "bacterial SSU rRNA". It matches the Rfam family "Bacterial small subunit ribosomal RNA", at positions 43 to 485 of the family's 1533-position model. The record is from RNAcentral.
CAGGCCUAACACAUGCAAGUAGAACGGCAGCACGGACUUCGGUCUGGUGGCGAGUGGCGAACGGGUGAGUAAUACAUCGGAACGUGCCUAGUAGUGGGGGAUAACUACUCGAAAGAGUGGCUAAUACCGCAUGAGAUCUACGGAUGAAAGCAGGGGAUCGCAAGACCUUGUGCUACUAGAGCGGCUGAUGGCAGAUUAGGUAGUUGGUGGGAUAAAAGCUUACCAAGCCGACGAUCUGUAGCUGGUCUGAGAGGACGAUCAGCCACACUGGGACUGAGACACGGCCCAGACUCCUACGGGAGGCAGCAGUGGGGAAUUUUGGACAAUGGGCGCAAGCCUGAUCCAGCAAUGCCGCGUGCAGGAUGAAGGCCUUCGGGUUGUAAACUGCUUUUGUACGGAACGAAAAGCUUCGGGCUAAUACCCUGGAGUCAUGACGGUACCGUAAGA